GCUCAGGAUGAACGCUAGCUACAGGCUUAACACAUGCAAGUCGAGGGGUAGCAGGGUAGCAAUACCGCUGACGACCGGCGCACGGGUGAGUAACACGUAUCCAACCUUCCCAUAACUCGGGGAUAGCCUUUCGAAAGAAAGAUUAAUACCCGAUAGUACUUAUAUAAGGCAUCUUAAAUAAGUUAAAGAUUUAUUGGUUAUGGAUGGGGAUGCGUUCCAUUAGAUAGUUGGUGAGGUAACGGCUCACCAAGUCUUCGAUGGAUAGGGGUUCUGAGAGGAAGGUCCCCCACAUUGGUACUGAGACACGGACCAAACUCCUACGGGAGGCAGCAGUGAGGAAUAUUGGUCAAUGGGCGAGAGCCUGAACCAGCCAA
RNAcentral lists this ribosomal RNA (374 nucleotides) under uncultured Bacteroidota bacterium. RNAcentral describes it as "bacterial SSU rRNA". It matches the Rfam family "Bacterial small subunit ribosomal RNA", at positions 22 to 395 of the family's 1533-position model. Lineage: Bacteria; Pseudomonadati; Bacteroidota. The record is from RNAcentral. RNAcentral also lists the same sequence under 1 other name.